This 429-nucleotide ribosomal RNA is filed under the name Chloroflexota bacterium. Its description in RNAcentral is "Chloroflexi bacterium partial 16S ribosomal RNA". It matches the Rfam family "Bacterial small subunit ribosomal RNA", at positions 355 to 776 of the family's 1533-position model. Lineage: Bacteria; Bacillati; Chloroflexota. The record is from RNAcentral.
UGGGGAAUAUUGCACAAUGGGCGCAAGCCUGAUGCAGCCAUGCCGCGUGUAUGAAGAAGGCCUUCGGGUUGUAAAGUACUUUCAGCGGGGAGGAAGGGAGUAAAGUUAAUACCUUUGCUCAGUGACGUUACCCGCAGAAGAAGCACCGGCUAACUCCGUGCCAGUAGCCGCGGUAAUACGGAGGGUGCAAGCGUUAAUCGGAAUUACUGGGCGUAAAGCGCACGCAGGCGGUUUGUUAAGUCUGAUGAGAAAUCCCCGGGCUCAACCUGGGAACUGCAUCUGAUACUGGCAAGCUAGCGUCUCGUAGAGGGGGGUAGAAUUCCAGGUGUAGCGGUGAAAUGCGUAGAGAUCUGGAGGAAUACCGGUGGCGAAGGCGGCCCCCUGGACGAAGACUGACGCUCAGGUGCGAAAGCGUGGGGAGCAAACAGG